RNAcentral lists this ribosomal RNA (534 nucleotides) under uncultured bacterium. Its description in RNAcentral is "partial 16S ribosomal RNA". It matches the Rfam family "Bacterial small subunit ribosomal RNA", at positions 355 to 899 of the family's 1533-position model. The record is from RNAcentral.
UGGGGAAUAUUGCACAAUGGGCGCAAGCCUGAUGCAGCAACGCCGCGUGAGGGACGACGGCCUUCGGGUUGUAAACCUCUUUUAGUAGGGAAGAAGCGAAAGUGACGGUACCUGCAGAAAAAAGCACCGGCUAACUACGUGCCAGCAGCCGCGGUAAUACGUAGGGUGCGAGCGUUGUCCGGAAUUAUUGGGCGUAAAGAGCUCGUAGGCGGUCUGUCGCGUCUGCUGUGAAAACCCGAGGCUCAACCUCGGGCCUGCAGUGGGUACGGGCAGACUAGAGUGCGGUAGGGGAGAAUGGAAUUCCUGGUGUAGCGGUGGAAUGCGCAGAUAUCAGGAGGAACACCGAUGGCGAAGGCAGUUCUCUGGGCCGUAACUGACGCUGAGGAGCGAAAGCGUGGGGAGCGAACAGGAUUAGAUACCCUGGUAGUCCACGCCGUAAACGUUGGGCGCUAGAUGUGGGGACCAUUCCACGGUUUCCGUGUCGCAGCUAACGCAUUAAGCGCCCGCCUGGGGAGUACGGCCGCAAGGCUAAAA